Molecule: ribosomal RNA, 663 nt
Filed under: uncultured bacterium
Lineage: Bacteria
Description: bacterial SSU rRNA
Rfam family: Bacterial small subunit ribosomal RNA
Source: RNAcentral
CGUGCCGCAGCUAACGCAAUAAGUAUCCCGCCUGGGGAGUACGGUCGCAAGACUGAAACUCAAAGGAAUUGACGGGGACCCGCACAAGCAGCGGAGCACGUGGUUUAAUUCGAAGCAACGCGAAGAACCUUACCAAGGCUUGACAUCCCUUGACGUGCAUGGAAACAUGCAUUCCCUUCGGGGCAAGGAGACAGGUGGUGCGUGGUUGUCGUCAGCUCGUGUCGUGAGAUGUUGGGUUAAGUCCCGCAACGAGCGCAACCCUUAUCAUUAGUUGCCAGCGGGUAAUGCCGGGAACUCUAAUGAGACUGCCGGGGAUAACUCGGAGGAAGGUGGGGACGACGUCAAAUCAUCAUGCCCCUUAUGUCUUGGGCUACACACGUGCUACAAUGGCCGGUACAAAGGGCUGCGAAGCCGUAAGGUGGAGCGAAUCCCAUAAAGCCGGUCUCAGUUCGGAUCGUGGGCUGCAACCCGCCCACGUGGAGCCGGAGUUGCUAGUAAUCGCGGAUCAGCAUGCCGCGGUGAAUGCGUUCCCGGGUCUUGUACACACCGCCCGUCACACCAUGGGAGUUGGGAGCGCCCGAAGCCAGUGGGCUAACCAGUAAUGGAGGCAGCUGUCGAAGGCGAGAUCAAUGACUGGGGUGAAGUCGUAACAAGGUAACCAAG